Molecule: ribosomal RNA, 253 nt
Filed under: uncultured bacterium
Lineage: Bacteria
Description: partial 16S ribosomal RNA
Rfam family: Bacterial small subunit ribosomal RNA
Source: RNAcentral
UACGUAGGUGGCAAGCGUUGUCCGGAAUUAUUGGGCGUAAAGCGCGCGCAGGCGGUCCUUUAAGUCUGAUGUGAAAUCCCGUGGCUUAACCACGGGCGGUCAUUGGAAACUGGGGGACUUGAGUGCAGAAGAGAAGAGCGGAAUUCCACGUGUAGCGGUGAAAUGCGUAGAGAUGUGGAGGAACACCAGUGGCGAAGGCGGCUGUGGUGUCUGUAACUGACGCUGAGGCGCGAAAGCGUGGGGAGCGAACAGG